GAUGAACGCUGGCGGCGUGCCUAAUACAUGCAAGUCGAGCGAACAGACGAGGAGCUUGCUCCUCUGACGUUAGCGGCGGACGGGUGAGUAACACGUGGAUAACCUACCUAUAAGACUGGGAUAACUUCGGGAAACCGGAGCUAAUACCGGAUAAUAUAUUGAACCGCAUGGCUCAAUAGUGAAAGACGGUUUUGCUGUCACUUAUAGAUGGAUCCCCGCCGCAUUAGUUAGUUGGUAAGGUAACGGCUUACCAAGGCAACGAUGCUUAGCCGACCUGAGAGGGUGUUCGGCCACACUGGACCUGAGACCCGGUCCAGACUCCUACGGGAGGCAGCAGUAGGGAAUCUCCCGCAAUGGGCGAAAGCUUGACGGAGCAACGCCGCGUGGGUGAUGAAGGUCUUCGGAUCUUAAACCUCUGUUAUUAGGGAAGACCAAGUGUGUAAUUAACUAUGCACGUCUUGACGGUACCUACUCAGAAAGCCACGGCUAACUACGUG
Molecule: ribosomal RNA, 497 nt
Filed under: uncultured bacterium
Lineage: Bacteria
Description: partial 16S ribosomal RNA
Rfam family: Bacterial small subunit ribosomal RNA
Source: RNAcentral